AGAGUUUGAUCCUGGCUCAGGACGAACGCUGGCGGCGUGCCUAAUACAUGCAAGUCGAACGCUUCUUUUUCCACCGGAGCUUGCUCCACCGGAAAAAGAGGAGUGGCGAACGGGUGAGUAACACGUGGGUAACCUGCCCAUCAGAAGGGGAUAACACUUGGAAACAGGUGCUAAUACCGUAUAACAAUCGAAACCGCAUGGUUUUGAUUUGAAAGGCGCUUUCGGGUGUCGCUGAUGGAUGGACCCGCGGUGCAUUAGCUAGUUGGUGAGGUAACGGCUCACCAAGGCGACGAUGCAUAGCCGACCUGAGAGGGUGAUCGGCCACAUUGGGACUGAGACACGGCCCAAACUCCUACGGGAGGCAGCAGUAGGGAAUCUUCGGCAAUGGACGAAAGUCUGACCGAGCAACGCCGCGUGAGUGAAGAAGGUUUUCGGAUCGUAAAACUCUGUUGUUAGAGAAGAACAAGGAUGAGAGUAACUGUUCAUCCCUUGACGGUAUCUAACCAGAAAGCCACGGCUAACUACGUGCCAGCAGCCGCGGUAAUACGUAGGUGGCAAGCGUUGUCCGGAUUUAUUGGGCGUAAAGCGAGCGCAGGCGGUUUCUUAAGUCUGAUGUGAAAGCCCCCGGCUCAACCGGGGAGGGUCAUUGGAAACUGGGAGACUUGAGUGCAGAAGAGGAGAGUGGAAUUCCAUGUGUAGCGGUGAAAUGCGUAGAUAUAUGGAGGAACACCAGUGGCGAAGGCGGCUCUCUGGUCUGUAACUGACGCUGAGGCUCGAAAGCGUGGGGAGCAAACAGGAUUAGAUACCCUGGUAGUCCACGCCGUAAACGAUGAGUGCUAAAGUGUUGGAGGGUUUUCCGCCCUUCAGUGCUGCAGCUAACGCAUUAAGCACUCCGCCUGGGGAGUAGGACCGCAAGGUUGAAACUCAAAAGGAAUUGACGGGGGCCCGCACAAGCGGUGGAGCAUGUGGUUUAAUUCGAAGCAACGCGAAGAACCUUACCAGGUCUUGACAUCCUUUGACCACUCUAGAGAUAGAGCUUCCCCUUCGGGGGCAAAGUGACAGGUGGUGCAUGGUUGUCGUCAGCUCGUGUCGUGAGAUGUUGGGUUAAGUCCCGCAACGAGCGCAACCCUUAUUGUUAGUUGCCAUCAUUUAGUUGGGCACUCUAGCAAGACUGCCGGUGACAAACCGGAGGAAGGUGGGGAUGACGUCAAAUCAUCAUGCCCCUUAUGACCUGGGCUACACACGUGCUACAAUGGGAAGUACAACGAGUCGCAAAGUCGCGAGGCUAAGCUAAUCUCUUAAAGCUUCUCUCAGUUCGGAUUGUAGGCUGCAACUCGCCUACAUGAAGCCGGAAUCGCUAGUAAUCGCGGAUCAGCACGCCGCGGUGAAUACGUUCCCGGGCCUUGUACACACCGCCCGUCAA
This 1423-nucleotide ribosomal RNA is filed under the name uncultured bacterium. Its description in RNAcentral is "bacterial SSU rRNA". It matches the Rfam family "Bacterial small subunit ribosomal RNA". The record is from RNAcentral.